GAUGAACGCUGGCGGCGUGCCUAAUACAUGCAAGUCGAGCGAACAGACGAGGAGCUUGCUCCUCUGACGUUAGCGGCGGACGGGUGAGUAACACGUGGAUAACCUACCUAUAAGACUGGGAUAACUUCGGGAAACCGGAGCUAAUACCGGAUAACAUGUUGAACCGCAUGGUUCAACAGUGAAAGGCGGUUUUGCUGUCACUUAUAGAUGGAUCCGCGUCGCAUUAGCUAGUUGGUAAGGUAACGGCUUACCAAGGCAACGAUGCGUAGCCGACCUGAGAGGGUGAUCGGCCACACUGGAACUGAGACACGGUCCAGACUCCUACGGGAGGCAGCAGUAGGGAAUCUUCCGCAAUGGGCGAAAGCCUGACGGAGCAACGCCGCGUGAGUGAAGAAGGUCUUCGGAUCGUAAAACUCUGUUAUUAGGGAAGAACAAAUGUGUAAGUAACUAUGCACGUCUUGACGGUACCUAAUCAGAAAGCCACGGCUAACUACGUG
This 497-nucleotide ribosomal RNA is filed under the name uncultured bacterium. Its description in RNAcentral is "partial 16S ribosomal RNA". It matches the Rfam family "Bacterial small subunit ribosomal RNA", at positions 28 to 507 of the family's 1533-position model. The record is from RNAcentral.